This 153-nucleotide small nuclear RNA is filed under the name Zalophus californianus (California sea lion). RNAcentral's name for it is "U4 spliceosomal RNA (ENSZCAG00015024350.1)". The stretch from base 1 to 68 matches the Rfam family "U4 spliceosomal RNA". The record is from RNAcentral. Lineage: Eukaryota; Metazoa; Chordata; Mammalia; Carnivora; Otariidae.
AGCUUCGCGCAGUGGCAGUAUCGUAGCCAAUGAGGUUUAUCCGAGGCGCGAUUAUUGCUAAUUAAAAGGCCGUGUUCCUCAACUGCUCUGCUGCUAGAAUGCUAGAAAGCAGGGCGUGGGCGUAAGAUACUUUGCUGGACAGAUAUUUUUAUU